Arachis stenosperma is the source of this 647-nucleotide long non-coding RNA. RefSeq lists it as uncharacterized. The record is from RefSeq and is a predicted model, not a curated record. The transcript is spliced from 4 exons. NCBI's taxonomy places the organism in Eukaryota, Viridiplantae, Streptophyta, Magnoliopsida, Fabales, Fabaceae.
AUUGGAUGAAGAAACAGUUGAAAGAAUGCAACAUAGCUUAAGGGACUAUGUGAAACAAAUAGUGGAAAAUAAAGCAAAAGAAGAGUCAGGGAAGAUUCUGAUUCGCAUGAAGGAUAGAUUCUCUACUGUGUUCAAUCAUGAUGCUGAUUCACUCCCUAGAGUGUGGACUGGGAAAGAAUAUAUCAGAGCUAUUACUAGGGAUGCUCGAUCUGCAUCGCUGAAGCUUCUAUCAGAUAUGGCUGCUAUACGCUUGGAGGAUGAGAAGCCAGAUCGCAUUGAAAAUGUACUUCAUUCAUCUUUCAUUGAGACCUGCUAGUGCAAUAUCUUUCCAAAAUAGAAUUGAAGGGCCUACAGAUCCACUGGCUUCAAGCACGUGGGAGGAGGUUCACCCAAAAGACACACUUAUCACUCCAGUGCAGUACAAGUCCUUGUGGAGACACCAGUGGUCGCGGUGGAGUUCGUAGUGGUGGUGGGUAAGGUGGAGGAUGUGAUGACGGUCUUGCAUGCUACAGCCGUGGUGGAAUGGGUCAAGGAUUGCAACUAGGGAGGCGGCGGAUGCAGAGGCAGGUUCGGCGGCGUUUGUGCCGGCGGAAGCUACUACAACUAUAGGCAUUUCUGGGCAUUUUGCAGCAGACCGCCCAACAAGC